This 1531-nucleotide ribosomal RNA is filed under the name Obesumbacterium proteus. RNAcentral's name for it is "bacterial SSU rRNA". It matches the Rfam family "Bacterial small subunit ribosomal RNA". The record is from RNAcentral. Lineage: Bacteria; Pseudomonadati; Pseudomonadota; Gammaproteobacteria; Enterobacterales; Hafniaceae.
UCCCCUGGGCGGCAGGCCUAACACAUGCAAGUCGAGCGGUAGCACAAGAGAGCUUGCUCUCUGGGUGACGAGCGGCGGACGGGUGAGUAAUGUCUGGGAAACUGCCUGAUGGAGGGGGAUAACUACUGGAAACGGUAGCUAAUACCGCAUGACGUCUUCGGACCAAAGUGGGGGACCUUCGGGCCUCACGCCAUCAGAUGUGCCCAGAUGGGAUUAGCUAGUAGGUGGGGUAAUGGCUCACCUAGGCGACGAUCUCUAGCUGGUCUGAGAGGAUGACCAGCCACACUGGAACUGAGACACGGUCCAGACUCCUACGGGAGGCAGCAGUGGGGAAUAUUGCACAAUGGGCGCAAGCCUGAUGCAGCCAUGCCGCGUGUAUGAAGAAGGCCUUCGGGUUGUAAAGUACUUUCAGCGAGGAGGAAGGCAUUGGGUUAAUAACCUUAGUGAUUGACGUUACUCGCAGAAGAAGCACCGGCUAACUCCGUGCCAGCAGCCGCGGUAAUACGGAGGGUGCAAGCGUUAAUCGGAAUUACUGGGCGUAAAGCGCACGCAGGCGGUUUGUUAAGUCAGAUGUGAAAUCCCCGAGCUUAACUUGGGAACUGCAUUUGAAACUGGCCAGCUAGAGUCUUGUAGAAGGGGGGUAGAAUUCCAGGUGUAGCGGUGAAAUGCGUAGAGAUCUGGAGGAAUACCGGUGGCGAAGGCGGCCCCUGGGACAAAGACUGACCGCUCAGGUGCGAAAGCGGUGGGGGGAGCAAACAGGAUUAGGAAAGCGGCCCCUUGGACAAAAGACUGACGCUUCAGGUGCGAAAGCGUUGGGGAGCAAACAGGAUUAGAUACCCUGGUAGUCCACGCUGUAAACGAUGUCGACUUGGAGGUUGUGCCCUUGAGGCGUGGCUUCCGGAGCUAACGCGUUAAGUCGACCGCCUGGGGAGUACGGCCGCAAGGUUAAAACUCAAAUGAAUUGACGGGGGCCCGCACAAGCGGUGGAGCAUGUGGUUUAAUUCGAUGCAACGCGAAGAACCUUACCUACUCUUGACAUCCAGAGAAUUUGCUAGAGAUAGCUUAGUGCCUUCGGGAACUCUGAGACAGGUGCUGCAUGGCUGUCGUCAGCUCGUGUUGUGAAAUGUUGGGUUAAGUCCCGCAACGAGCGCAACCCUUAUCCUUUGUUGCCAGCGAGUAAUGUCGGGAACUCAAAGGAGACUGCCGGUGAUAAACCGGAGGAAGGUGGGGAUGACGUCAAGUCAUCAUGGCCCUUACGAGUAGGGCUACACACGUGCUACAAUGGCAUAUACAAAGAGAAGCGAACUCGCGAGAGCAAGCGGACCUCAUAAAGUAUGUCGUAGUCCGGAUUGGAGUCUGCAACUCGACUCCAUGAAGUCGGAAUCGCUAGUAAUCGUAGAUCAGAAUGCUACGGUGAAUACGUUCCCGGGCCUUGUACACACCGCCCGUCACACCAUGGGAGUGGGUUGCAAAAGAAGUAGGUAGCUUAACCUUCGGGAGGGCGCUUACUACAUUGUGAUCUAUGACCCGG